GUAUUUUCUUUGCAUAUUAUAUUAACUAUUUUGAAUAAUUUUGCACUUCCUUUAAUGAAGGGAGUGCUUUUUUUGCGCUUUGCGCUUUAAGCAAUGGGGUGAUGCAUCACUUUGAGUUCGCCUUAUGCUUUUAACUACCUUGAUGAAAACUCAUUCUGUCAAACAUUGUGCGUUAGGGAAACUAACUUAUUGCACUUAUGCGUAUGAAGACAAAGACAUCUCUCCUAAUUAAGUACUUUCAAGCUCAUUUUGUCAUAUAUGCUUGUAAUUACAUAUCCAUGUUGGUUAAUAUAGUUUUGGGUGGUGAAUCUUAUGUAAUCAGCCAAGAUUGAGUGUUUCUUUUGUUAGCUUACUGUUCCUAUCAUAUCCUGUAUCAUGAAUUAAAGUUAAUAUACCUAUAAAAAGAUUUCGACAUAAUUGUGUGGACAACACUAUAUCGUGUUCCUGUUUAAUCCCUCCCCUCAUCCCACUGCAGUUGCUAACUGAUUUGAGGCUGACAGAAAACUGUGCAUUGCAAAAAGGAAGGCUAUUGGUUUUAAAGUGUCCUUUAUGUCAAGCAAAAGCUGCAACCUUAUUAGGAAAUUAACUAAUGUAGAAACUAAUAGUUUAAUUGUUAAGUGAAAUAACAAAUGUUUGAUCUCUGAUUCUGUGUUUUGUCUUAAAAUCCACAACUUGAUGAGACAAUCAUGAGCCUCAAGCUUUAUAGACUUAUUCAUCACCUUCAUGAACCUUCAAUGAGUGCUUGCUUGUGCUGGAGAAUACAUGGCAUCUAACUGGCAUGCGUUUUUACUCUAUUUCUUUCUUCUUAGUAGAUAGCCUACCUAUGAACACUAGGAUGCCAAUUAUGAAAUAUGCCUUUGUUAUUGCAUACUAAUUUUGUUUCUUUUGCUUUCUUCUCCAUCUUUUGCCAACCUAUUACUAUUUAUUUAUAUUGACUCUUGACUCUUUGCAUGUAAAAUGCAGCUCCUGAGGUAGUUGAGAAGCCUG
RNAcentral lists this unclassified non-coding RNA (987 nucleotides) under Hevea brasiliensis (rubber tree). The record is from RNAcentral. Lineage: Eukaryota; Viridiplantae; Streptophyta; Magnoliopsida; Malpighiales; Euphorbiaceae.